UGGACAGAUUAUUGUAUUCGACUGUAUUCACGGCGUGAAACAGGGGAUUGCACUGUUUUUAAACGGAAAGUGAAUCAAUUAACAUAAUCGACUCCU
Molecule: microRNA precursor, 96 nt
Organism: Nicotiana attenuata
Lineage: Eukaryota; Viridiplantae; Streptophyta; Magnoliopsida; Solanales; Solanaceae
Rfam family: MIR6152 microRNA precursor family
Source: Rfam